This 478-nucleotide ribosomal RNA is filed under the name uncultured bacterium. Its description in RNAcentral is "partial 16S ribosomal RNA". It matches the Rfam family "Bacterial small subunit ribosomal RNA", at positions 28 to 507 of the family's 1533-position model. The record is from RNAcentral.
GAUGAACGCUGGCGGCGUGCUUAGCACAUGCAAGUCGAACGAGAAGUGGAGACGGAAACCUUCGGGCGGAAGACUUUAUUUCGAGUGGCGGACGGGUGAGUAACGCGUGGGUAACCUGCCUCAUACAGGGGGAUAACAGUUGGAAACGACUGUUAAUACCGCAUAAGACCACAGCACCGCAUGGUGCGGGGGUAAAAACUCCGGUGGUAUGAGAUGGACCCGCGUUCGAUUAGCCAGUUGGCGGGGUAACGGCCCACCAAAGCGACGAUCGAUAGCCGAUCUGAGAGGAUGACCGGCCACAUUGGGACUGAGACACGGCCCAAACUCCUACGGGAGGCAGCAGUGGGGAAUAUUGCACAAUGGGGGAAACCCUGAUGCAGCGACGCCGCGUGAGUGAAGAAGUAUUUCGGUAUGUAAAGCUCUAUCAGCAGGGAAGAAAAUGACGGUACCUGAGUAAGAAGCCCCGGCUAACUACGUG